Molecule: non-coding RNA, 120 nt
Filed under: Thalassionema frauenfeldii
Lineage: Eukaryota; Bacillariophyta; Fragilariophyceae; Thalassionematales; Thalassionemataceae
Source: RNAcentral
AGACAAUAGAAAAAGAUUCAAGAGAAAAACAAAAUCCAAAUCAAAUGUUGUCGGUUUCCUGGUUUCUUGUCUUAUCAUUCUGUCAUUAAUUUUCCUUGGUCUGUCGUUGCAAUUGCUGUC